UUACUCCUGCCGUGUUCGUGAAGCCGAGAGGGGUUUUGAGCCAAUACUUUAUAAGAGGGGACCUAGGUCCAAGGAUAAAAACGCGGUAGCUUUCGAGCAAGGCGGAAUUAUCCGGCAGGUGCCCACCUGCGUUCGCAGGGUCAAAACCAACGGUACACGGCACGGUGGGACCUGA
Molecule: non-coding RNA, 175 nt
Filed under: Anaerolineales bacterium
Lineage: Bacteria; Bacillati; Chloroflexota; Anaerolineae; Anaerolineales
Description: 6S RNA
Rfam family: 6S / SsrS RNA
About the family: E. coli 6S RNA was the first non coding RNA to be sequenced, but its function was unknown until recently. It consists of 184 nucleotides that fold into an extended hairpin structure with a large single-stranded internal bulge.
Source: RNAcentral